This 377-nucleotide ribosomal RNA is filed under the name uncultured Chloroflexota bacterium. RNAcentral describes it as "bacterial SSU rRNA". It matches the Rfam family "Bacterial small subunit ribosomal RNA", at positions 521 to 896 of the family's 1533-position model. Lineage: Bacteria; Bacillati; Chloroflexota. The record is from RNAcentral.
UAAUACGUAGGGGGCGAGCGUUGUCCGGAAUUACUGGGCGUAAAGGGCGCGUAGGCGGUCCAAAAAGUCUCCGGUGAAAUCUCCCGGCUCAACUGGGAGCGGUCCGGGGAAACUUUUGGACUUGAGGACAGCAGAGGAGGGUGGAAUUCCCGGUGUAGUGGUGAAAUGCGUAGAUAUCGGGAGGAACACCAGUGGCGAAGGCGGCCCUCUGGGCUGUAUCUGACGCUGAGGCGCGAAAGCGUGGGGAGCAAACCGGAUUAGAUACCCGGGUAGUCCACGCCCUAAACGAUGGAUGCUGGGUAUGAGGGGUAUCGAACCCCCUCGUGCCGAAGCUAACGCGUUAAGCAUCCCGCCUGGGGAGUACGGCCGCAAGGCUA